UCUUACAAAGUAACAAAAGAAAGUUUAAGCAAAACUACAAUAUCUUCUCAAAGUUGAUCUUGACGAGGACACAAAUGAAACCGCAGUUAUCCUGAAAAAUGUUUGCCAUAGUUUGAUGAGUUUGGCUACUCAGUAAGUGAUCAUCGUAAUCCUAAAAAUAAUCAUGAUUGAAAGAUAUCAAUAUUUUUCAAAAUGAGAUCUAUUAAUAGAAAUGCAUUAACAAUUUC
Molecule: long non-coding RNA, 227 nt
Filed under: Amborella trichopoda
Lineage: Eukaryota; Viridiplantae; Streptophyta; Magnoliopsida; Amborellales; Amborellaceae
Description: long non-coding RNA (ATRI_LNC001540)
Source: RNAcentral